UAUGGAAUUUUUCUUUUUUAAUUCGUGGCAAUUUUUGCCCUCUUUGAUUAUAUGUUUGUUAUUUUAUGGAUUUCAUUUUCUUUAAAAUUUUUCCUUCUCAUUUCCAUUUUAAAAUUUCGAUGCUUGUGCCUAAAUUUUUUUCUGUGGAUACUUUGGCGAGUGUUGAAGCCAUUUUCUAACUUUACCGAAUUUUUAAAGUUUUGGAGCGUUAGACUAUUGGAAUUAAUGUUGAUUAUCGCCCUUCUGCGUCG
This 251-nucleotide unclassified non-coding RNA is filed under the name Hevea brasiliensis (rubber tree). The record is from RNAcentral. Lineage: Eukaryota; Viridiplantae; Streptophyta; Magnoliopsida; Malpighiales; Euphorbiaceae.